GGGGGUGUAGCUCAGUGGGAGAGCAUUUGACUGCAGAUCAAGAGGUCCUUGGUUCAAUUCCAAGUGCCCCCU
This 72-nucleotide transfer RNA is filed under the name Petromyzon marinus (sea lamprey). Its description in RNAcentral is "tRNA-Cys (GCA) (tRNA-Cys-GCA-10-1)". It matches the Rfam family "tRNA". From Rfam's summary of the family: Transfer RNA (tRNA) molecules are approximately 80 nucleotides in length. Their secondary structure includes four short double-helical elements and three loops (D, anti-codon, and T loops). Further hydrogen bonds mediate the characteristic L-shaped molecular structure. tRNAs have two regions of fundamental functional importance: the anti-codon, which is responsible for specific mRNA codon recognition, and the 3' end, to which the tRNAs corresponding amino acid is attached (by aminoacyl-tRNA synthetases). tRNAs cope with the degeneracy of the genetic code in two manners: having more than one tRNA (with a specific anti-codon) for a particular amino acid; and 'wobble' base-pairing, i.e. permitting non-standard base-pairing at the 3rd anti-codon position. Lineage: Eukaryota; Metazoa; Chordata; Hyperoartia; Petromyzontiformes; Petromyzontidae. The record is from RNAcentral.